GAUUGCAAUAGGAACAAAGUUUAUCCGAAUUAUCAGGUCGAUUAAACUUUGGUCGCGGGUCAUAUUGCACCUUGAAAGCCAUGACGCCUUCUCGAUUAGAGGCCACUGUGUCGGUCGAGAUUAGCCUCUCUGCCUGAAUAAUUUGCUGAUAUGAUUUGUCCACCCCCGGAAGAGGGUCUUGAGCAAGAAGUUGUCCUCGGAUGGAGGCAAACUUGUCAUUAUCCGAAUUAUCAGGUCGAUUAAACUUUGGUCGCGGGUCAUAUUGCACCUUGAAAGCCAUGACGCCUUCUCGAUUAGAGGCCACUGUGUCGGUCGAGAUUAGCCUCUCUGCCUGAAUAAUUUGCUGAUAUGAUUUGUCCACCCCCGGAAGAGGGUCUUGAGCAAGAAGUUGUCAUCGGAUGGAGGCAAACUUGUCAUCUAAACCAAUCAAAAAAUGAUGUACGAAGU
This 447-nucleotide long non-coding RNA is filed under the name Nicotiana benthamiana. Its description in RNAcentral is "long non-coding RNA (NBEN_LNC032806)". Lineage: Eukaryota; Viridiplantae; Streptophyta; Magnoliopsida; Solanales; Solanaceae. The record is from RNAcentral.